RNAcentral lists this transfer RNA (72 nucleotides) under Schistosoma japonicum. Its description in RNAcentral is "tRNA-Pro". The record is from RNAcentral. Lineage: Eukaryota; Metazoa; Platyhelminthes; Trematoda; Strigeidida; Schistosomatidae.
GACUCAGUGGUUCAGUGGUAAAGCUUUGGCCGAGGAACCAGAGGAUCAUGGGUUCGAUCCCCGAUAGGGUUG